Molecule: ribosomal RNA, 433 nt
Filed under: uncultured bacterium
Lineage: Bacteria
Description: partial 16S ribosomal RNA
Rfam family: Bacterial small subunit ribosomal RNA
Source: RNAcentral
AACGAACGCUGGCGGCAUGCCUAACACAUGCAAGUCGAACGAGACCUUUGGGUCUAGUGGCGCACGGGUGCGUAACGCGUGGGAAUCUGCCCUUGGGUUCGGAAUAACAGUGAGAAAUUGCUGCUAAUACCGGAUGAUGUCUUCGGACCAAAGAUUUAUCGCCCAGGGAUGAGCCCGCGUAGGAUUAGCUAGUUGGUGGGGUAAUGGCCUACCAAGGCGACGAUCCUUAGCUGGUCUGAGAGGAUGAUCAGCCACACUGGGACUGAGACACGGCCCAGACUCCUACGGGAGGCAGCAGUGGGGAAUAUUGGAGACUGGGCGCAAGCCUGAUCCAGCAAUGCCGCGUGAGUGAUGAAGGCCUUAGGGUUGUAAAGCUCUUUUACCAGGGAUGAUAAUGACAGUACCUGGAGAAUAAGCUCCGGCUAACUCCGUG